This 705-nucleotide long non-coding RNA is filed under the name Medicago truncatula (barrel medic). RNAcentral describes it as "lncRNA gene34803". Lineage: Eukaryota; Viridiplantae; Streptophyta; Magnoliopsida; Fabales; Fabaceae. The record is from RNAcentral.
UGGCCAAUAUGAUUACAAUAUAUGAAAAGAAAAAGGCAUAGGUUGUAAUUAAACCCAAAUGUAAUAAUUUAAUAACCAUACCCAACUUGUAGUUGCAAGCUAUAUAUAAAUAUGAUAUUGGAGGUGUCAACUCGGUAUAAGAGUUUGACAUUGUAACCUCAAGAAACAAAGUUAAAUAUUUUGUAAAACCAGCUGUAAAAGGGCAACCGAUGAGAAUCAAUAAAUUAAGCAUAAGCACGAAGUCUCAUUCUUAAUUACUUAAUCAAUUUUUGUUUCCCUUCGAAUGUAUUUGAAUUACUUAGCUAAUAAAGUAAAAGUAAUCAUUAACCACUAUUAAAAAAGUUAAAUUAUUGACGAGAAUUAGAGACUGAAAAAAUGAAACUGAUCUCCAAUUUUAAUCGGAGAUAAACUUCAUAUUUUUUGUCCCUCAUCAUUUCAACUUUUUUUAGUAGCGAAUUAGCAACGGUUUCCCUUCUUGCAAGUGAGCACACCAGAAGUAGUAGUGAUGGAACCAACAAGAGAGGCUGGUCUUGCACUAAGACUUGAAGCCCUAGCAUAGAUUGAAGAAGAUUCAGCACCAGUUUGUCUAAAGAAUGCUCCAUUCAAGAACAAAUCACCCUCUGAUCUCCAAUUCCAACUAUUAUAUUCACUUUCUGAUGCAUCUUCAUGCUUUGUUACUUCCUUGCUAAAUCUAUUAUCUGGUGC